GGAGGGUUGGCAGAGCGGUUGAAUGCACUGGUCUUGAAAACCAGCAUGGAUUAGUAGUCCAUCCGGGGUUCGAAUCCCCGACCCUCCUCCA
Molecule: transfer RNA, 91 nt
Filed under: Gammaproteobacteria bacterium
Lineage: Bacteria; Pseudomonadati; Pseudomonadota; Gammaproteobacteria
Description: tRNA-Ser
Rfam family: tRNA
About the family: Transfer RNA (tRNA) molecules are approximately 80 nucleotides in length. Their secondary structure includes four short double-helical elements and three loops (D, anti-codon, and T loops). Further hydrogen bonds mediate the characteristic L-shaped molecular structure. tRNAs have two regions of fundamental functional importance: the anti-codon, which is responsible for specific mRNA codon recognition, and the 3' end, to which the tRNAs corresponding amino acid is attached (by aminoacyl-tRNA synthetases). tRNAs cope with the degeneracy of the genetic code in two manners: having more than one tRNA (with a specific anti-codon) for a particular amino acid; and 'wobble' base-pairing, i.e. permitting non-standard base-pairing at the 3rd anti-codon position.
Source: RNAcentral